RNAcentral lists this transfer RNA (73 nucleotides) under Leucobacter sp. Ag1. It matches the Rfam family "tRNA". Rfam says of the family: Transfer RNA (tRNA) molecules are approximately 80 nucleotides in length. Their secondary structure includes four short double-helical elements and three loops (D, anti-codon, and T loops). Further hydrogen bonds mediate the characteristic L-shaped molecular structure. tRNAs have two regions of fundamental functional importance: the anti-codon, which is responsible for specific mRNA codon recognition, and the 3' end, to which the tRNAs corresponding amino acid is attached (by aminoacyl-tRNA synthetases). tRNAs cope with the degeneracy of the genetic code in two manners: having more than one tRNA (with a specific anti-codon) for a particular amino acid; and 'wobble' base-pairing, i.e. permitting non-standard base-pairing at the 3rd anti-codon position. Lineage: Bacteria; Bacillati; Actinomycetota; Actinomycetes; Micrococcales; Microbacteriaceae. The record is from Rfam by way of RNAcentral.
GGGUCCUUAGCUCAGUUGGUAGAGCGCGUCGUUCGCAAUGACGAGGUCAGGAGUUCGAUUCUCCUAGGAUCCA